Molecule: long non-coding RNA, 729 nt
Organism: Musca domestica (house fly)
Lineage: Eukaryota; Metazoa; Arthropoda; Insecta; Diptera; Muscidae
Exons: 2
Source: RefSeq, a predicted model, not a curated record
CUAAAGGAGCUCACUUAGACAAAUCUUUUGGGCAUUUCAAAUCUUUGUCCCAAACAGAAAAAUCGAAAUUUUCUAGCUGUAAAAUUUUGAGGCAACCCUACACUCACUAACAAUAAGAUUUAAUGGGCAUUAAUUUUCCUCACAUUUGUAUCUUAAGCACUAUUUAUCUAACUACAAACAAUACGUUUAACUUAUAUACUAAACUACACACUAACAAACAAAUAUUUUUUAUAGCUUCUUUUUUUCUUUUGGUCAAAUUCGGAUUAAUUGAUGAAUUUCAUAUUUUUAUUCUUUUUUCAGUGGUGUUUCCGUCAAAGGAAAAGGAACUUCAUAUGACUUUUUUCAGCGGGAUUUGGCUUUCUUUCUUUUCUUUGAUUUUUAGGUGGGAUCUACUGGUUAGCUUCCCGGAUUGGUACUAUUGCCUGUUCCAAGGGCUAUCCACUGGCAGUUUCCCAGGUCUUUUGGCCGUUUCCAGAACCUUUUCGUUGCCUGGAACCCCUGUGCCGCACCUGGCGAUACAAAAAUAAUUGUUGGGGAUGCCCGCUUCUUUUUCGUCCAAGUCGGAUGGCGUUGUCCAAUUGUGGAUUUAUGCGCGGCGUUAUUCCUAAAUAGAACACAAAAACUUAACACAACACAUCCGACAUAACACCACUUACAAAUCAACACUUACAAAUUGUUUAGAUACGCCACACAAAUAAAACAAUAAAACACACAAAUUGUAACUGCCAA